Long non-coding RNA from Lathyrus oleraceus (garden pea), 1303 nucleotides. RefSeq lists it as uncharacterized. Lineage: Eukaryota; Viridiplantae; Streptophyta; Magnoliopsida; Fabales; Fabaceae. The transcript has 5 exons. The record is from RefSeq and is a predicted model, not a curated record.
AAGAAAAUGGGGGUAAUUCUUCAGAUUCUACCGUUAAACCAUUGUUGUUUUUUUUUCAUGAAGUCCAUUGUAUAUGGGAAUGUCAGUACUAACUACUCCAUUUUCAUCUGAAUGCUCAAGAGUCGGCGGAACACUUGAAUUAAUAGAUGAUGAAUCGCUGGAUUCUUAAUUGAUUGGCAAAAUAUCUGCCACAGUAACUGGAGGAAAGGUGAAUUUUACUUUGCUGCACCAAUUGCUGCCAAAGACUCCUUGCGGACCGCUGACUAAUAAAGACGACCAGAGGGGCCUUCCCAUUAUCUUUCGGAAACCGGUAGAAGUAAUGACAAGUACAUGAAUGGAUCAAAUGUCACAGAGACCUUCCUACAAACAGGACAAACUACUAUCGACUUAUAUUGGCCUUGGCACACGUCCAUAAUGACUGAAUCGUUGCGAGCCAGAUGACAAUGCCAAUAUGUUGUUUUCACUUCGCUUUGCUUUGUUUUCUUCCACAGAGUGCCAAACAUCCAAAUGCGCCUACCAGCCUUGUUUCAAUGGAAUAUUUCCCAUCAGGAACAAAGGAAUCACUAAUCAUCUUGAAGAAAUUAAGCCUCAUUAUGCUAUCAGCAAAUCCUGCAGAAGAAGCAUUGGUUUCGGUUUUCUCACGUUAAUGUUGCACUGCAUGAUGUUCCAUCACCCGGGGACUUUGAAAUUGCAGCGGCAGCACCAGAUGAUUCGGGGCUUGGGAAAGUGUGGCCUCCCAUAUCGUCAAUCUUUGAAAUGAUGGAGUUGGACAUUGUCUGGAACCUAGUUUGCAUCUGCUGUAGAAGAUUUUGCACAAAAACAGUCAUAUCAGCGGUGCUUUGUUUUGGACCUUCUGAAUCAUGCCCAUCCAUGAUUUGAACAACGCUUCAACUGGAACUUUUUCAACAAAUUUCAAAAUUGGAACUUGGUACCAAUGAUGCUCUAGGUUCAAUUCCUGUUUAUUUUCCAGUUGGGAUGUUCUUAGCAUGCUCUAGCAGCUUCAGAAUUUGCUGGAGAGUUUGAGUGAUGGAAGUGGUUACGCACACAUGGAAAGAGUUAGCAUGGAGGCUCUCACUUGCAACUGUUGGAGAAUUAAACAACCGCUUUUGAAACAGGGACCGAUGACGGAUGUACGUCGGUGUUUGAAUGGGUCUCACCUUUUCUUGUUAUUCUUUUUGUAAAAAAUGAUCAAUAGUAUUUGGAACUCGAAACUCAGCAUCUUUUCAUCUUCAACGGUCUGAAUCUUGUCUCUUCCAAACACAACUUUUCUAUUUCUGUAUAAAUAUAGCAGCUUCAUUAACAG